CACGCCGUAAACGAUGUCGACUUGGAGGUUGUGCCCUUGAGGCGUGGCUUCCGGAGCUAACGCGUUAAGUCGACCGCCUGGGGAGUACGGCCGCAAGGUUAAAACUCAAAUGAAUUGACGGGGGCCCGCACAAGCGGUGGAGCAUGUGGUUUAAUUCGAUGCAACGCGAAGAACCUUACCUGGUCUUGACAUCCACAGAACUUUCCAGAGAUGGAUUGGUGCCUUCGGGAACUGUGAGACAGGUGCUGCAUGGCUGUCGUCAGCUCGUGUUGUGAAAUGUUGGGUUAAGUCCCGCAACGAGCGCAACCCUUAUCCUUUGUUGCCAGCGGUCCGGCCGGGAACUCAAAGGAGACUGCCAGUGAUAAACUGGAGGAAGGUGGGGAUGACGUCAAGUCAUCAUGGCCCUUACGACCAGGGCUACACACGUGCUACAAUGGCGCAUACAAAGAGAAGCGACCUCGCGAGAGCAAGCGGACCUCAUAAAGUGCGUCGUAGUCCGGAUUGGAGUCUGCAACUCGACUCCAUGAAGUCGGAAUCGCUAGUAAUCGUGGAUCAGAAUGCCACGGUGAAUACGUUCCCGGGCCUUGUACACACCGCCCGUCACACCAUGGGAGUGGGUUGCAAAAGAAGUAGGUAGCUUAACCUUCGGGAGGGCGCUUACCACUUUGUGAUUCAUGACUGGGGUGAAGUCGUAACAAGGUAACCGUAGGGGAACCUGCGGUUGGAUCAC
RNAcentral lists this ribosomal RNA (730 nucleotides) under Escherichia coli. RNAcentral describes it as "bacterial SSU rRNA". It matches the Rfam family "Bacterial small subunit ribosomal RNA", at positions 796 to 1526 of the family's 1533-position model. The record is from RNAcentral. Lineage: Bacteria; Pseudomonadati; Pseudomonadota; Gammaproteobacteria; Enterobacterales; Enterobacteriaceae.